UAAGACGGGGGGGGCGAGCGUUGUUCGGAAUUACUGGGCGUAAAGGGCGCGCAGGCGGCCUGGGAAGUCUUGGGUGAAAGCCCCCAGCUCAACUGGGGAAUGGCCUGAGAAACCACUAGGCUGGAGUGCUGGAGAGGGAAGCGGAAUUCCCGGUGGAGCGGUGAAAUGCGUAGAUAUCGGGAGGAACACCAGAGGCGAAGGCGGCUUCCUGGACAGACACUGACGCUGAGGCGCGAAAGCUAGGGGAGCAAACGGGAUUAGAUACCCCGGUAGUCCUAGCUGUAAACGAUGGGUACUAGAUGUGGGGGGUAAUUGAAAGUCCCUCCGUGUCGCCGAUAACUCAAUAAGUACCCCGCCUGGGGAGUACGGCCGCAAGGCUG
Molecule: ribosomal RNA, 380 nt
Filed under: uncultured bacterium
Lineage: Bacteria
Description: bacterial SSU rRNA
Rfam family: Bacterial small subunit ribosomal RNA
Source: RNAcentral